Molecule: ribosomal RNA, 357 nt
Filed under: uncultured Pseudomonas sp.
Lineage: Bacteria; Pseudomonadati; Pseudomonadota; Gammaproteobacteria; Pseudomonadales; Pseudomonadaceae
Description: bacterial SSU rRNA
Rfam family: Bacterial small subunit ribosomal RNA
Source: RNAcentral
UCUGACACAGGUGCUGCAUGGCUGUCGUCAGCUCGUGUCGUGGAGAUGUUGGGUUAAGUCCCGUAACGAGCGCAACCCUUGUCCUUAGUUACCAGCACGUUAAGGUGGGCACUCUAAGGAGACUGCCGGUGACAAACCGGAGGAAAGGUGGGGAUGACGUCAAGUCAUCAUGGCCCUUACGGCCUGGGCUACACACGUGCUACAAUGGUCGGUACAAAGGGUUGCCAAGCCGCGAGGUGGAGCUAAUCCCAUAAAACCGAUCGUAGUCCGGAUCGCAGUCUGCAACUCGACUGCGUGAAGUCGGAAUCGCUAGUAAUCGUGAAUCAGAAUGUCACGGUGAAUACGUUCCCGGGCCUU